GUCCUUGUCGAUUAGUGGUUAGAUCAUCACGUUGUGGAUUCCCGGUCACGAGACCGUGGGAAAGCAGGUGCCGUGAAGACGGAGGCUCGAAUCCUCCCUGGGACA
Molecule: non-coding RNA, 105 nt
Organism: Trametes versicolor FP-101664 SS1
Lineage: Eukaryota; Fungi; Basidiomycota; Agaricomycetes; Polyporales; Polyporaceae
Source: the annotation of a RefSeq genome assembly